AUUGAUUUAACCGGUUGUCAACAGCAGAUGUACUUUUCGUUCAAAGGUCUACGGGUUUUUUUUCUGUCACCGUUUGCAACUCAACUUGGUUUUAUCGCGCAAUCAAUAAAUCGAAAUUUAAUUUCAUUUUCGUUUAGUGGAGAAGUGUUGUUGCUGUUUUGAAUUUGUUAAGGUUUGUUCGCACUCGUGUGUAUGUAAUGUUAAUUAAGAGUGAUCAUGACUAAUAUAGAUAGAGUACUUCGCCGAAAGAAACGUAGCCGGUGACCUCAAAAGCCCUUAUGAUGUAUAUGGCGCUUCGUCUCUUGUCUUAUGACAUUUCACGUCUACAUGCCAACGAGAAAAUGUGGUAAAAAUCCGUUAUAAAAUCAACUCUGAUCGAAAACUUCAAUUAAAAUACGAACCAUCAAGAUAUCAACUCACACAAGACAAGAACACAUCAUGAAUCGACAAGAUCGUGAACGGAACAGACAACUGUAUUCACAAGAAAACCCAGAAACUUGGACGACUUGCAAUUACGGCCAACUACCGAAAUGGCUUCAAGACAACGACUAUCUGCACAAACGGCAUCGACCUGCAUUGCCUUCGUACCGUCAGUGUUUCGGUUCGAUAUUCCGUUUGCACACGGAAAGCGGUAAUAUAAUGACGCAUUUAAUCGGUUUCGUACUAUUUAUCGUCAUGGCAAGAACGUAUUUCGUCAAAAACGAAUUUACAUUGAUCGACAAUUUAAUGAUCAGCAUAUACUUUUGUGGCGUAAUGCUUUGCCAUUUGUUGAGUACAGUUUAUCACACAUGCAAAUGUCAUUCGCCGAACGCAUACCAACUGUUCCAUCGGCUCGAUUAUUGUGGCAUAUCGAUGCAAAUCAUUUGUUCAAUGAUUCCGGCAUUUUAUUACGGAUUCCAUCACAAAUACAUCCAAUGGUUCUAUCUGUACUGUGCCAUCGGGUUGAUAUUUUUCACCGCCGCAUUGGUCAUCUCAAUCAGACCGCGAUUCGGUACACCAGCGUACCGACCGCUCCGGGCAACAGUGUUCCUAACGUUCGGUUUGUCGAAUUUCAUACCCGGCUUCCACUGGUACCUGAUUGCUGAGCCAGACUUUGUGUAUCCAGUCUACUUGGUGGUGUUGCAAGGUUUACUUUAUGUGGUCGGAGCAGUCAUCUAUGCGUUACGAAUACCAGAAAAAUUGUAUGCAGGGAAAUGUGAUCUAUGGCCGCAAUCACAUCAAAUAUUUCAUAUAUUUGUCACGGUAGCAGCUAUCGUACACUUUAACAGUAUUCAUCAAAUGGUUCAAUUGAGACAAAUUGCUGUAUAGUUUGAAAUUUUCAAUAAAAAUUAUUUGUAUUCACA
Long non-coding RNA from Bradysia coprophila, 1343 nucleotides. The record is from RefSeq and is a predicted model, not a curated record. NCBI's taxonomy places the organism in Eukaryota, Metazoa, Arthropoda, Insecta, Diptera, Sciaridae.